RNAcentral lists this long non-coding RNA (939 nucleotides) under Homo sapiens (human). RNAcentral describes it as "HSALNT0008261". The record is from RNAcentral. Lineage: Eukaryota; Metazoa; Chordata; Mammalia; Primates; Hominidae.
UUUGGACCCCAACUCCAACCUUUGAGAAUUUUAUUCAGGGAGACAGGGAUGAUAACCAGUUUCUGUUUAUUGUGGUAAAAUAUACAUAACAUACAAUUUACCAUUUUAACCAUUUUAAGUGAUGUGGCAUUAAGUACAUUCACAUUGUUGUGCAGCAUCAUUACUCUCCAUCUCCAAAACUUUUUCAUCAUCUCAUACUGAAACCUGUACCUGUUAAAUAAUAACUCUCCAUUUUCUUCUCCCACUAGCCCAGGUAACCACCGUUUCUACUUUUGUCUUUAUGAAUUUGACUAUUCUAGGUACCUAGGUGACACAAUAUUUGUCCUUCUGUGUGUAGCUUAGUUCACUUAGCAUAAUGUUUUCUAGAUUCAUCCAUGUUGUAGCAUGUAUCCAAAUUUCCUUCUUUUCUAAGGCCGAAUAAUAUUCCAUUGUACGUAUAUACCAUGUUUUAAUUCAGCCAUCCAUGGACAUGUGGGUUGUUUCUACCUUUUGUUUAUUGUAAAUAAUGCUGCUGUGAACAUUGGUAUCUGAGUCCCUGCUUUCAAUUCUUUGGGGUAUGUACCCAGAAAUGGAAUUGCUGGAUCAUACCAUAAUGCAUGUUUAAUUUUUGUUGGAACUGUCAUCCUUUUUUCCACAGCAGCUGCACCAUUUUACAUUCCUGCUAGCAGUGCACAGGGAUUCUAAUUUUCCAACAUCCUUGCCAACGCUUGUUUUCUGUUUUAGCUGUCUGUAACAAAAAUACCAUAGACUGGGUGGUUUAAACAACAAACAUUUAUUUCUCACAGUUUGAGAGGCUGGGAAUUCUAAGAGAAGGUGCAAGGUGCCAGCAAAUCCAGUGUGUGAUGAGGAUACUGUUCCUGCUUUACAGAUGACCAUCUUUCCAUUCCAUUUUCACAUGGCUGCCUCUAAGAAUCAAACUUCACUCUUGGGAGAACCACC